This 468-nucleotide ribosomal RNA is filed under the name uncultured bacterium. RNAcentral's name for it is "partial 16S ribosomal RNA". It matches the Rfam family "Bacterial small subunit ribosomal RNA", at positions 28 to 507 of the family's 1533-position model. The record is from RNAcentral.
GACGAACGCUGGCGGCGUGCUUAACACAUGCAAGUCGAACGGAAAGGCCCUGCUUUUGUGGGGUGCUCGAGUGGCGAACGGGUGAGUAACACGUGAGUAACCUGCCCUUGACUUUGGGAUAACUUCAGGAAACUGGGGCUAAUACCGGAUAGGAGCUCCUGCCACAUGGUGGGGGUUGGAAAGUUUCGGCGGUUGGGGAUGGACUCGCGGCUUAUCAGCUUGUUGGUGGGGUAGUGGCUUACCAAGGCUUUGACGGGUAGCCGGCCUGAGAGGGUGACCGGCCACAUUGGGACUGAGAUACGGCCCAGACUCCUACGGGAGGCAGCAGUGGGGAAUAUUGCACAAUGGGCGGAAGCCUGAUGCAGCAACGCCGCGUGCGGGAUGACGGCCUUCGGGUUGUAAACCGCUUUCGCCUGUGACGAAGCGUGAGUGACGGUAAUGGGUAAAGAAGCACCGGCUAACUACGUG